CAGCAGCCACGGUAAUACGAAGGGGGCUAGCGUUGUUCGGAAUUACUGGGCAUAAAGCGCACGUAGGCGGACAUUUAAGUCAGGGGUGAAAUCCCGGGGCUCAACCCCGGAACUGCCUUUGAUACUGGGUGUCUAGAGUAUGGAAGAGGUGAGUGGAAUUCCGAGUGUAGAGGUGAAAUUCGUAGAUAUUCGGAGGAACACCAGUGGCGAAGGCGGCUCACUGGUCCAUUACUGACGCUGAGGUGCGAAAGCGUGGGGAGCAAACAGGAUUAGAUACCCCCGUAGUCCCUGUCUCUUAUAC
Molecule: ribosomal RNA, 301 nt
Filed under: uncultured bacterium
Lineage: Bacteria
Description: partial 16S ribosomal RNA
Rfam family: Bacterial small subunit ribosomal RNA
Source: RNAcentral